Molecule: ribosomal RNA, 254 nt
Filed under: uncultured bacterium
Lineage: Bacteria
Description: partial 16S ribosomal RNA
Rfam family: Bacterial small subunit ribosomal RNA
Source: RNAcentral
UACGUAGGCAGCGAGCGUUGUUCGGAGUUACUGGGCGUAAAGCGUGCGUAGGCGGUGUCUUAAGUUUGUUGUGAAAUCUCCCGGCUUAACCGGGAGGGUGCGGCGAAUACUGAGAUGCUGGAGUGCCGGAGAGGUAAGCGGAAUUCUUGGUGUAGCGGUGAAAUGCGUAGAUAUCAAGAGGAACACCUGAGGUGAAGACGGGUUGCUGGGCCGACACUGACGCUGAGUGCGCGAAAGCCAGGGGAGCAAACGGG